Molecule: long non-coding RNA, 1026 nt
Filed under: Apteryx rowi (Okarito brown kiwi)
Lineage: Eukaryota; Metazoa; Chordata; Aves; Apterygiformes; Apterygidae
Description: lncRNA (ENSARWG00000000610.1)
Source: RNAcentral
UUCCUCUCCGGCAGAACGGUGGCAAAAACGUGAUCGCUCCGGGAGAGCAAGGGAGAGGAGAAAUUUGUUUGGGGUUGCCGUCUUCGGUCGGUGUGUUUUAAUCUUCGUUUGAAUUGGGCGAGAAGCUGUUUGCUGAGUGUGUGUGUUUGGGGGGAGGGGGGAGUUUCUGAAGUGGCUCCCUAGUUCGAAGAUAUUAUUAAAAAAAUUUUUCUAAAAAAAAAAAAGAUAAGGGAGAAAAAUGCGAGGUAUUCACACUGAAGUGUGGAGUUUGUAGAGCCCGAGUGGGGGAGGGGAGCCCAUUCAUCGCCAGGGUUUGAAUCAGCAGCAGGCGGAGGAGCCGACCACUCCAGUAAAUCGAAGUUUACUUCCAAGUAUUAAAAACAUUUAGAAGCUAUCCUUUGACAUUGUCUUCAAGAAAACAAGGAGGAUUUGCUUUUAGUGGAGAGAUUCCCUUUGUCAUACUGCGGAAUAAUACAUUUGUUGUGCUCCUUUUUGAAGCCAGCAAACUGCAGUGGACACAUAACUUCAGCUUCUGCUAUAUUUUGCGGUGCAGCACUAUCAGCUCUUCAUUAAUCCUAUACCAUCGAACACAGACUCUGCAGAAUAUUCCCUGCAGUUCAAGAGUAAAGCCAACUAUUUAUGAUUUAUACUUCUGAACAGAAUAAUAGUGUAUUAUAACAGCACUGAUGAAAGGACACUGUUGUAUUGUUAAGAUUAACAUGUAUACGGUUUUUAUUAUUUUUAUGCUUAAAAAUGUACAGUGAUGAAUUUUUGCUGAUUUUAACACAUUCCAGUAGCCUACAGCAAAAUCAUUCAAGAAUUACUUCUGAAAGAAAUGACCUUCACAGUGUAUCGUAAACAUACAAAUGAGAUUUUUAUAAAAUUAAUUAAAAAUAUGUAUCUUCUGCAAAUCCAUAUGUAUUAGUAACUUACAAUUAGGAAGUCUUACAACCAUAUGAUAGCUUCAGUGUUGAGCAGCUACAAGUUGCUUUUUGUCUCCACCAGUACAUUCAGUGUAGUUGCUAC